GACGGAGGGUGCUAGCGUUGUUCGGAAUGACUGGGCGUAAAGGGCGCGUAGGCGGCCGCUUGCGUCGGAUGUGAAAGCCCGGGGCUCAACCCCGGAACGGCAUCCGAUACGGGGCGGCUCGAGACCGAGAGAGGUGAGUGGAAUACCCAGUGUAGAGGUGAAAUUCGUAGAUAUUGGGUGGAACACCGGUGGCGAAAGCGGCUCACUGGCUCGGUUCUGACACUGAGGCGCGAAAGCGUGGGGAGCAAACAGG
RNAcentral lists this ribosomal RNA (253 nucleotides) under uncultured bacterium. Its description in RNAcentral is "partial 16S ribosomal RNA". It matches the Rfam family "Bacterial small subunit ribosomal RNA", at positions 524 to 776 of the family's 1533-position model. The record is from RNAcentral.